Molecule: RNA transcript, 4124 nt
Organism: Lycium barbarum (goji berry)
Lineage: Eukaryota; Viridiplantae; Streptophyta; Magnoliopsida; Solanales; Solanaceae
Exons: 3
Source: RefSeq, a predicted model, not a curated record
UUAUGCUCCGUAGACAUAAAGGCGAAAAAUUGAAGACCAGCCCAUUUGAAGUACAAAGUGCAAAUUUUUUCACUUUAUAUAAGCCCGAAAUAGGCGUUCAGUUCUUUAGUUCUUCCCCCUCUUUCCCUCCGGCGAGGCAAAUCGAGUUGUCUUUUCAUCUCUGGGUUAUUAGCUGCAUAGUUAUGAUGGAUCUUGAUCUCAACAAGUUCGGAAGAGAUAGGAGCUUUUGAGGGUUUUAAACUUCGUACAGUAUUUGCUCCUAGAUUGAUUUUUCCCCUUUGCUUCAAUUAUGUUAUACUUUUAUCAGAUCAAAUGAAAGUAAACGGUCAGUAGGCUCUUUAUUACAUAGUGGAGCAUUUUAGUUUCUGAUAGCAUAUCUGACAUUUAUUGGUCUUUCCCAUUGAAAGAUUGAGAACUUUGUUAUUCCUUGGAAUUUCUGGUUUUGAUGAUGAUGAUGAUGAUGAUUCAGAAGGUCAUUGAAACUAGAAUUUUAGAGAAAAUCUUGCUUGGUGCAAGAUCAAAGUUUCUGCGUCAGGAGACUUACUUGUCGUCAAGAUAUAUUUUGAAUGAUUAACUUGUGGUUAAUAUAUAAGGCUGGCCCUUCAUUUAAAAUUGCAUGGGUCACACUCAUAGGGAUCCAUUAUUUUAUGUACUUAAAAAGGAAUUUAUCUACUUCUACUGUUUUCUUGCAUAUAUCGUCCAGCAAACAUUUCUAUUGCCAAUUUUAUCUGAAGUAACCAUCUUUUCUUCCAGCGAAAUAUGUUUAGGACCUAUAUAUGAUAUCCUGCUUUGUCCGGGAUGCUCUAUGUUUCUUGUACGUUUUUUACUUUAAGUUUCACCCUUGCUAUCUCCCUAUUUCCCUCCCUGAAAAAUGGGAAACUCAUUUAUAUACAUUUAAAGUGCAGACUUUGAUCUGGUAAUACCUUUCAGAGCUGUGGGUUAUUGGGUUGAUGUUUUUUUUUUUUCUUAAUCUGAAAUCAUUUUCAUAAAAGUAGAAAGUGUACGUUCUUUAACUUUUACCCACCACCUAUGGUGCAAAAAACUCCUUUUUGAUCGAGAAAAAAAAUUCCAUUUUUGAUUGUUCAUGCUACUAUAUUCACUGUCUAUCAGAGCUUCACGAUGACAAGGAUAGCUCGUGAGGUUUAAAGCAGUGAUAGAUCAAAUUUGGAGCUUCAUGAUGCUUCUGAUCUUAAAUAGAUCAGUUGAUGAAAGUCUUAAGAUGCCUGCCUCUGACAUGUAUGACUGCUUAAUUUUAAUAGAUGUUGGUUUGCUAGUGGUAGAAUGUUGAGUCAUUGAUGAGACUUUCCUGGCAUUUCUGUUUUUUUUUUCCACAAUUUCUGUCAAAUCCUAAUAUAGAAAGAGUUAUUUAAAUAUUUGACACAAAUUAUAAGUACUCACUUUUGGCAUACUUAAAAGGACCAAAACUGCUCAAGAGUAUAUUUAAGGGGCUAUUUUUGACCUACACCCAAACAUAAGUGACCAUUUUUUUCAUUUUCUCGUUCCUAGUGAGUUCAUUACCUUAGAUGUUAUGUCGUUUGAUACUUUUUAUUGGCAGGAUUUGAAAAAUAUGAAAUGCUCUUGAAAUUUUGCUUCAAUGUUAGCUUUGCGAAUGCUUAUAUAUAUCUCUAUUGGAUAUUCUUUAUCUGAAAUGGGGAUUUCCAUCAUCUGUUGUUUUGUGUCUUCAGGGCCUAGAGAACUUGGUGGUUCAGUUGAUCUUCUAGACCAUUAGGAAACAUCUCGAUCUUUUUUGUAAGAGGUCAUUACCUCCCUCUAUAUCUGAGACACGAUACCUUAGGAAUGUGGUGGGGGACACAAAAAUAAGGAAAGGUGAAGGAAUGGAACUCGAUAAGCUGUCCAAAAGCUCCUCCUAUGUGGGACAUAGACGUGUACCUUUGCAUCCUUUUGGCUUGGGUCUUCUUACGGAUGCUUUUAAGCUCAGAGAUCCUUGUUGUGCUCUCUUACUGUUUUGGGAGUGCUAACUCAAGGCUUGGUUAGCUAUACUACUAUAGUUUUGUCAUAAAAUUUCCUGAGUAACUUAUCGUUGUGUUAAUGAUAGGCAGACAUCGGAUUACCUUCAGGUGCAUCAAAUUUGAAGAAUGAAUAUAAGGAAAAGAAGCAUAAGAAGCAUAAGAAGCACAAACACAAAGAUAGGUCGAGGAAACAGGAUCCUAGCAUUUGCAUUGACAAAGAUCGUAUGUCAAGCAGGGAUAACAAUAAGGAGAAAAAUGGGAGUAAGGCGCAGAAUUAUGGUCCAGAUUUGUUUAUGAGACAACAAGUAAAGGCAUUCAGACAAUCAUGAGUGUACAUAGUGUUAUCAGUUAUGACAUCACAGAUCUGUUCAAGGGAUUAGCAAAGAGCAUUCAAAUGAAUCCACAUUACAAUCCAUUGCAUAUAACAGGUUUGGAUUUUGUAUUAGUCACUUCAGUUUUGAUGAAUCUCGUUUAAGAUAUUGCCUUAGUUAUCAAUUUCAGUUCAUAUUUCUGUCGCCAAACUCGGGGGUUUGGUGAUCACGCCCAGCUUACAACCUGACGGAGUCGUUUGGCACCUCGAUGUGGACUCAUCACAUCCUGGGGUUGAAGAAGGUCCCAAGGGUUCGGUUGUUCUUCUUAUUCUUCUUCUUUCUUAGUUGAGGUUCCCCUUCUCCGGCAGCAAGUUCAAUGGUUUCUAAGCUGGACGACAUUCAAAGGUGCUUGGUCACAACUCACAACAAAUAUAGCUUGGCUUUGAGUCCAGAGUCAAUCCUAUAGAGAGCGUUGGACUAGUUCUACUAACAAAACAUAUGCAUAUACCCAAAAAAAACUGAACAAUACAUGUGCAAAAAAGCCAAAUAUCACUACCCCACGCUUAGACUUUUGUUCGUCUUCGGGCAAAGAACCUAACUGACCUAACAUGUUCUAUAUAGGAUUCAAGUUCAAUUUCUUUCUUUGCUUCUGUUCAUCUAUUCCACUCACCAAGACUCAACAAUUUCAAGAUCGCAACCUAUAAGCACUUUCAUGAAUAGCUAUUGCACAGGAGCUGGGUUUACCCUGUGCGCACCUGAAGGAUAGCGGCUACGGGUUCCCAUGUCAUAAAAAAAAAAAAGAAAAAAAAAAAAAAGAAUGACGCAAGACUAAUUUGCAUGCACAAGCUAUUGUUUCAUGGUUCCACUAUGUGUGUGUUUAUAAUUUUCAACAAUGCAAGAAAUAAAGCUGACUACCUGAGCAACAAUAAUCUAUUAUCAUCACUUAAAUACUUAAAACUUCAACUUCUCUUAUCAACCUCAAGGAUCAACAGCUGGGUAAUUUUACUAAUCAAGAAAACAUUUAGUUCAUUUUUCACAACAUUUGGGAGAUUAGAUUUCUAGGAGUUCAAGUGAUUCACAUCAAUUUCAAUUGAAUUGCUUUAAAUGCAAGUGAAUCACCUCGACUAAUACUAGGCUCCGUUUUGAGUUUCAAACAAGAGGCUUUCUUCUCCCCUGGACGAGCAUUGGAACAUAUAUCCCUAUCCAUUCUUUCACAUUUUUGUACUUGUUUCACUUCUUUUUUCUGUGUCUUGAAUUGUUACCCUCCUUGUCACAGGCCUCAUACAUCCGUGUUAUUAUCUUUUUCCCUUAUUGUUUUUCUUCUUUUUAAUAACUGAAUCAUGCUCAUCCUCUUUAACUCACUUUUCAGAGGCAGCUCACAAUCAUCUGGUACCAUAGGAUUCAACAUUAGUGCUCAGGCUUUACUAGUGGAAACCAUUGUUUUAAGCAAGUGCAUUUGAAUUAAAAUCAAGAAUCAUAUUGUUCACUACUCUCUCAUACAGUUGUUUGUCUCUGAUAGAAGUAGAAACAAAAAUCUAAUGCAGUAUAGAAUAAGUAUCGUCAUCCAUGAAUAUCCACAAAAUAAAAAUUACUCCCCACCCCGCAUUUAAUUGAGUGCAUUGUCCGCAAUAUAUUAAGGGGUUUGGUUAGCCACAAGUUAUGCAGGGAUUAAAAUUGCACAGAUCCGUAAGCAGAGAUUAAUAGUGUGGGGAUUAUUUCUUUUUGGAUGUUUAGUUUGAUUAGUUUUAGUGUACGUGCGUUGCACGUGUGUAGUGAAUUUGUAAUUGACGUUCAAAUAAAUGCAAUAUUUAUUUAAGUGAUGAAAUAAAUGUUAUUACAUUGA